This 449-nucleotide ribosomal RNA is filed under the name uncultured bacterium. RNAcentral describes it as "bacterial SSU rRNA". It matches the Rfam family "Bacterial small subunit ribosomal RNA", at positions 355 to 796 of the family's 1533-position model. The record is from RNAcentral.
UGGGGAAUCUUGGACAAUGGGGGGAACCCUGAUCCAGCGAUGCCGCGUGUGUGAAGAAGGCCUUCGGGUUGUAAAGCACUUUAGUAGGGGAGGAGUAGGGUUUGUUGAAUAGACGAAUCUGAGGACGUUACCCUAAGAAUAAGCACCGGCUAACUCUGUGCCAGCAGCCGCGGUAAUACAGAGGGUGCGAGCGUUAAUCGGAAUUAUUGGGCGUAAAGGGCGCGUAGGCGGAUAGACAAGUGGUAGGUGAAAGACCCGGGCUUAACCUGGGGAGGUCCUAUCAGACUGUUUUUCUAGAGUGUGGCAGAGGAAGGUGGAAUUCCCGGUGUAGCGGUGAAAUGCGUAGAUAUCGGGAAGAACAUCGAUGGCGAAGGCAGCCUUCUGGGCCAUAACUGACGCUGAGGCGCGAAAGCGUGGGGAGCGAACAGGAUUAGAUACCCCCGUAGUCC